Long non-coding RNA from Leopardus geoffroyi (Geoffroy's cat), 1395 nucleotides. RefSeq lists it as uncharacterized. NCBI's taxonomy places the organism in Eukaryota, Metazoa, Chordata, Mammalia, Carnivora, Felidae. The transcript has 5 exons. The record is from RefSeq and is a predicted model, not a curated record.
CACCGGCCGGGCCCGCCCCUUUUCGGCCAGAGGAGGCGGGGCCUCGGCGCAGGGGCGUGGCCUAGCGCGAGCGGCGUUCUGGCACCGCCCCCCGUGACGCACAGUCCAGCCCACUACAAGGACGGGUUGGAGGGGGUCUGCGGCCGGGUGGUCCGGCCGGGGCUGGGGCUGCUGGGGGAGCCGUUUGGAGGAGAGAAGGCUCGGAGGGGACGCGGGCACCUGAGAGGGGAGGAGGGGGCCGUCAAGUGGAGGGUGUGGUGACGGGCUGGGGGCCCAGCGCGCUCCCGGCCUCCGCUGGCGGGCGCGCGCGUGCCUCGUAUCCGGGCGCGCGCUCUUUGCCCCCGGACCCAGUCCCAGUCCGCAAGCUGCUUGGAUCCUUGCCCAUUGCUUAUUGUGCGUUUCUGCAGUAACCUCUGAUACGAGGGAGCGACUCUUGGGACGCUCACAUCCACAGCUCCUUUGGCAACACUGGAGGGAGAAGAGUUCUUGAUGUGCUCUGAGGAGAAUUUGCUAAUUGUUUACCUCCCCAGGUACAAGUAGGAUUGCAUUUCCUGGCUUCCUUGUAGCUGGGAUGAGCCACGUGACACAUUCUGCCAUGAAUUGUGAGCCUAGCAUCUAAUUGCUGAUGCAAGACCUUCCGGAACUCUUUUUCCCUUUGCCAUGGCAAUCAACAAUGUUCCAGAGAGUAUAUGCUCUGUAAGUCUUGGUCUUGGAGAGAGGAUGAUGCAAAAAGAGUCCCAUUCACCUCAUGAUGGGUAUUUAAAGUAUCAACUUCCGUUCUCCAAAUGGUAUCCAUUCUACAAAUGGAAAUAGGAGAGUGCAGUGUGGUCUCUGUCGCUCAUGCUCAGUGAACACAGCUGGGUCCAAAGUUGUCUUUCCAGGAUUAGAUGGCGAAGCUGGAGUAUCACUUGUGAGGAAUUCCUACUAAGGAAUCUCUGCCUAGGCGGCUUGCGGGGCAAGAGUAGGUGCUGAGUUGCUCUCCUCACCAGUGCACGAGGCAUGCAGAUGCUGCCACGGAGUCUCAGCUCUAUGCAAGACCAGCCCUGAUCAUGCCUUAAAACAGUUUGAAUCAAGCUGGCAUUUUCCCCCACAAAAGUUCAGCAAGCAUUAGAAUAUACCAGUCAGAACACAGAAGAGAAAUACAACCUGGAGACGCAAAAUUCAGAAGGCACCAACAUUUUAAUGAACUAACAUAGGACCAGCCUUCUUCACACUUCACAUCACAGAGUAAGUGGAGAAGAAAACUGAGAAACAAUGAAUUUAGCAUUUAUUAUCUUGCUUUAGAAUAGAAUUAUGGUGGGGCGCUUGGCUGGCUCAGUCGGUGGAGUAUGCGACUCUUGGUCUCAGAGUCAUGAGUUUAAGCCCUGAAUAGAGCUUACGUACAAAGUAAAAAUA